AGGUAAGCUACUAAGAGCGAAUGGUGGAUGCCUUGACUGGUAAAGGCGAUGAAGGACGUACUAGACUGCGAUAAGCUACGGGGAGCUGUCAAGAAGCUUUGAUCCGUAGAUUUCCGAAUGGGGCAACCCAAUGUAUAGAGAUAUGCAUUACCUAUAUAGGAGCGAACGAGGGGAAUUGAAACAUCUUAGUACCCUCAGGAAAAGAAAUCAAUAGAGAUUGCGUCAGUAGCGGCGAGCGAAAGCGCAAGAGGGCAAACCCAGUGCUUGCACUGGGGGUUGUAGGACUGCAAUGUGCAAGAGCUGAGUUUAGCAGAACAUUCUGGAAAGUAUAGCCAUAGAGGGUGAUAGUCCCGUAUGCGAAAAACAAAGCUUAGCUAGCAGUAUCCUGAGUAGGGCGGGACACGAGGAAUCCUGUCUGAAUCCGGGUCGACCACGAUCCAACCCUAAAUACUAAUACCAGAUCGAUAGUGCACAAGUACCGUGAGGGAAAGGUGAAAAGAACUGAGGUGAUCAGAGUGAAAUAGAACCUGAAACCAUUUGCUUACAAUCAUUCAGAGCACUAUGUAGCAAUACAGUGUGAUGGACUGCCUUUUGCAUAAUGAGCCUGCGAGUUGUGGUGUCUGGCAAGGUUAAGCAAACGCGAAGCCGUAGCGAAAGCGAGUCUGAAUAGGGCGCUUAGUCAGAUGCUGCAGACCCGAAACGAAGUGAUCUAUCCAUGAGCAAGUUGAAGCUAGUGUAAGAACUAGUGGAGGACUGAACCCAUAGGCGUUGAAAAGCCCCGGGAUGACUUGUGGAUAGGGGUGAAAGGCCAAUCAAACUUCGUGAUAGCUGGUUCUCUCCGAAAUAUAUUUAGGUAUAGCGUUGUGUCGUAAUAUAAGGGGGUAGAGCACUGAAUGGGCUAGGGCAUACACCAAUGUACCAAACCCUAUCAAACUCCGAAUACCUUAUAUGUAAUCACAGCAGUCAGGCGGCGAGUGAUAAAAUCCGUCGUCAAGAGGGAAACAACCCAGACUACCAGCUAAGGUCCCUAAAUCUUACUUAAGUGGAAAACGAUGUGAAGUUACUUAAACAACCAGGAGGUUGGCUUAGAAGCAGCCAUCCUUUAAAGAAAGCGUAAUAGCUCACUGGUCUAGUGAUUUUGCGCGGAAAAUAUAACGGGGCUAAAGUAAGUACCGAAGCUGUAGACUUAGUUUACUAAGUGGUAGGAGAGCGUUCUAUUUGCGUCGAAGGUAUACCGGUAAGGAGUGCUGGAGCGAAUAGAAGUGAGCAUGCAGGCAUGAGUAGCGAUAAUUAAUGUGAGAAUCAUUAACGCCGUAAACCC
This 1321-nucleotide ribosomal RNA is filed under the name Campylobacter jejuni. Its description in RNAcentral is "partial 23S ribosomal RNA". It matches the Rfam family "Bacterial large subunit ribosomal RNA", at positions 1 to 1346 of the family's 2925-position model. The record is from RNAcentral. Lineage: Bacteria; Pseudomonadati; Campylobacterota; Epsilonproteobacteria; Campylobacterales; Campylobacteraceae.